Molecule: non-coding RNA, 45 nt
Filed under: Schistosoma margrebowiei
Lineage: Eukaryota; Metazoa; Platyhelminthes; Trematoda; Strigeidida; Schistosomatidae
Source: RNAcentral
AUCGAGCUGACUAGUCCCAAACAGGACGAAACGCGCAUCCUGGAU